UACGUAGGGGGCAAGCGUUGUCCGGAAUCAUUGGGCGUAAAGAGCGUGUAGGCGGCCCGGUAAGUCCGCUGUGAAAGUCCAGGGCUCAACUCUGGGAUGCCGGUGGAUACUGUCGGGCUCGAGUCCGGAAGAGGAGUGUGGAAUUCCUGGUGUAGCGGUGAAAUGCGCAGAUAUCAGGAGGAACACCAAUGGCGAAGGCAGCACUCUGGGACGUGACUGACGCUGAGACGCGAAAGCGUGGGGAGCAAACAGG
This 253-nucleotide ribosomal RNA is filed under the name uncultured bacterium. Its description in RNAcentral is "partial 16S ribosomal RNA". It matches the Rfam family "Bacterial small subunit ribosomal RNA", at positions 524 to 776 of the family's 1533-position model. The record is from RNAcentral.